Long non-coding RNA from Panicum virgatum (switchgrass), 1170 nucleotides. RefSeq lists it as uncharacterized. The transcript has 6 exons. The record is from RefSeq and is a predicted model, not a curated record. NCBI's taxonomy places the organism in Eukaryota, Viridiplantae, Streptophyta, Magnoliopsida, Poales, Poaceae.
GUCCUCUGCUCGCUCGCCUGCCAAACGCCCACACGCCCUUCGUAGUCCACCAUGCUGCCGGCCGCCGCGGCAACCUGCGAUCGUGGAGGCGCGGCAAACUGAGAUCCAAGAGCCGACGCCCUGUCCGCGACAGUUGUCAUCGUCGCCUCCCCCGCGAUCGCCCGGGCCCUCGCCAUCAUUGUCGCCGUCGCGUUCGGCGUUCGUCGCCGCCUCCACGCCAGCUAGGUGCCUAGGUCAAGCGACGGCAGCUCGUUGGACACACCCAGGGAGACCACGGUGGCGGCUGCCUCUUCCGACGCCAUACGCAAGCGCGCCGUGCCUUCUCCACGCCGCGCCGCCGGGACCACGAUGACGGCUCGACAUGCACAAGCCGCCUGGUCAGAUGUUCCUGGAGCGUGCGUCUAUGUCCGACGCACGGACAGGCCGCCGGAUCAGAUGUUCCUAGGAUCCAAUCUUGGCUCAAGAUCCAUUCUGUCCUUUAUAUGUUGGAGUUUGGGUUAUAUCCAAUCCACACUACCCUUGACCUCGUCGGUGACUAAUAAAGCACCACUGAUGCUUGUAGUGUCAACGAAUAAAGAGAGCAAGGAAAACUAUAUUGGUCCUGCACCUCUGGAAGAAAUGGCCAGUGUUCAGGUUUGCCAAAGGAACAGCUGCAAUUGGCAGAGUAUCUACUGAAACUUGAUUAUGCCAUAAACAAACUAGGUAAGCUUAACAAUGUUUUCUUUAACGGAUUUCAGAGCUCUUGCCAUUCCUGCAAAUCGAAGUACUUGAGUUUCUCUCUAAAACUAUUUGUUUAUUUUGUCUGGCGGUGGCAAUGAGGCUCUUAAAGAUGCACAAGGCAGUGCUUACACUUCUUUUUGGGAAGUGCGGCAACCAAAAUAUUUAGAGAAAGCUUCAUGUCUAUAUUCUGGUGAUGGGCAGCUAGAAGACUGAAGAAUUACAUAAAGGUUUAUUGGUGACUGCUGGUGUCGAUGGGGCAUGAAGAAAUCAUUAAGAGAACUCAUAUUUAGUUCUAUUUUAUUAUGCCAGACAUAGUUGCAAACUUGUAGUGAGAGAUGAUGUUUUUAUUCUACUAUGUGGUCAUGUUUAUUUUAGCAGUACUCUGGUCAUUGUGUAAUUUGCUAUGGUUGACACAUUUGAAGUUAACGAAGGUUGAGUUCUUAUACGUGA